CCAAGAGUUUCCAAGAGCCUAUCGGCAGAGAAUUUGGUAAGGGUCUCCUCUCUAUGUCUUUCAGUUCCUUAGACAGCUCGACAGCCUCAACCUCACGGCUUCUAGGUCAUCCUUCAACUCCUGUGUAGCUCUUUUGAUGGCUUUUAGUGAGACUUCUCACAAUCGGAGUAGGGCAUCCCUAGUACCCAACAACAAGAGGUCUCAUCUUGCCGAGUCCGAGUUGAGAGAGC
RNAcentral lists this long non-coding RNA (230 nucleotides) under Elaeis guineensis (African oil palm). RNAcentral's name for it is "long non-coding RNA (EGUI_LNC061949)". The record is from RNAcentral. Lineage: Eukaryota; Viridiplantae; Streptophyta; Magnoliopsida; Arecales; Arecaceae.